UGCAGUCGAGCGGACCUUUAAAAGCUUUGCUUUCAAAAGUUAGCGGCGGACGGGUGAGUAACACGUGGGCAACCUGCCUGUAAGACUGGGAUAACUCCGGGAAACCGGGGCUAAUACCGGAUAAUUCAUUUCCUCUCAUGAGGGAAUGCUGAAAGACGGUUUCGGCUGUCACUUACAGAUGGGCCCGCGGCGCAUUAGCUAGUUGGUGAGGUAACGGCUCACCAAGGCCACGAUGCGUAGCCGACCUGAGAGGGUGAUCGGCCACACUGGGACUGAGACACGGCCCAGACUCCUACGGGAGGCAGCAGUAGGGAAUCUUCCGCAAUGGACGAAAGUCUGACGGAGCAACGCCGCGUGAGCGAUGAAGGCCUUCGGGUCGUAAAGCUCUGUUGUUAGGGAAGAACAAGUACCGGAGUAACUGCCGGUACCUUGACGGUACCUAACCAGAAAGCCACGGCUAACUACGUGCCAGCAGCCGCGGUAAUACGUAGGUGGCAAGCGUUGUCCGGAAUUAUUGGGCGUAAAGCGCGCGCAGGCGGUCCUUUAAGUCUGAUGUGAAAGCCCACGGCUCAACCGUGGAGGGUCAUUGGAAACUGGGGGACUUGAGUGCAGAAGAGGAGAGUGGAAUUCCACGUGUAGCGGUGAAAUGCGUAGAGAUGUGGAGGAACACCAGUGGCGAAGGCGACUCUCUGGUCUGUAACUGACGCUGAGGCGCGAAAGCGUGGGAGCGAACAGGAUUAGAUACCCUGGUAGUCCACGCCGUAAACGAUGAGUGCUAAGUGUUAGAGGGUUUCCGCCCUUUAGUGCUGCAGCAAACGCAUUAAGCACUCCGCCUGGGGAGUACGGCCGCAAGGCUGAAACUCAAAGGAAUUGACGGGGGGCCCGCACAAGCGGUGGAGCAUGUGGUUUAAUUCUAAGCAACGCGAAGAACCUUACCAGGUCUUGACAUCCUCUUGACAACUCUUGGAGACAAAGCGUUCCCCUUCUGGGGGACAAAGUGACAGU
This 1005-nucleotide ribosomal RNA is filed under the name Mesobacillus jeotgali. RNAcentral describes it as "bacterial SSU rRNA". It matches the Rfam family "Bacterial small subunit ribosomal RNA", at positions 56 to 1038 of the family's 1533-position model. The record is from RNAcentral. Lineage: Bacteria; Bacillati; Bacillota; Bacilli; Caryophanales; Bacillaceae.